AUCCUGGCUCAGGACGAACGCUGGCGGCGUGCUUAACACAUGCAAGUCGAGCGGGGAUUUAAGACGGAAAGCUUCGGCCGGAAGUUUUGAAUUCUAGCGGCGGACGGGUGAGUAACGCGUGAACAAUCUGUCCUACACAGGGGGAUAACACUUGGAAACAGGUGCUAAUACCGCAUAAGACCACGACACCACAUGGUGAUGAGGUAAAAGAUUUAUCGGUGUAGGGUGAGUUCGCGUCCGAUUAGCUAGUUGGUGAGGUAACGGCCCACCAAGGCGACGAUCGGUAGCCGACCUGAGAGGGUGAUCGGCCACAUUGGAACUGAGACACGGUCCAAACUCCUACGGGAGGCAGCAGUGGGGAAUAUUGGGCAAUGGGCGCAAGCCUGACCCAGCAACGCCGCGUGAGGGAAGAAGGUUUUCGGAUUGUAAACCUCUGUCCUCAAGGACGAAGGAAGUGACGGUACUUGAGGAGGAAGCCCCGGCUAACUACGUGCCAGCAGCCGCGGUAAUACGUAGGGGGCGAGCGUUGUCCGGAAUGACUGGGCGUAAAGGGCGUGUAGGCGGCCGAUUAAGUCUGGAGUGAAAGUCCUGCUUUCAAGGUGGGAAUUGCUUUGGAGACUGGUUGGCUUGAGUGCGGAAGAGGUAAGUGGAAUUCCCAGUGUAGCGGUGAAAUGCGUAGAGAUUGGGAGGAACACCAGUGGCGAAGGCGACUUACUGGGCCGUAACUGACGCUGAGGCGCGAAAGCGUGGGGAGCGAACAGGGUUAGAUACCCUGGUAGUCCACGCUGUAAACGAUGAAUACUAGGUGUGGGAGGACUGACCCCCUCCGUGCCGCAGUUAACACACUAAGUAUUCCCACCUCGGGAGUACCGCCGCAAGGUUGCAACUCAAAGGACUUGACGGGGGCCCGCACAAGCAGUGGAUCUAUGUGGUUUUAUUCGAAGCAACGCGAAGAUCCUUUCCAGGGUCUGUCAUCCCACUAACGAAGUAGAGAUACAUUCGGUGCCCUUCGGGGAAAGUUGAGACAGGUGGUGCAUGGUUGUCGUCAGCUCCUGUUGUGAGAUGUUGGGUUAAGUCCCGCCACGAGCGCAACCCCUAUUUUUUGUCGCUCCGCAAGAGCACUCUACCGAGACUGCCGUCGACCACACGGAGGAAGGCGGGGACGACGUCAAAUCAUCAUGCCCCUUCAUCUCUUGGGCCACACACGUAAUACAAUGGUGGUAAACAGAGGGAAGCAAAACAGUGAUGUGGAGCAAAUCCCUAAAAGCCAUCUCUGUUCGGAUUGUAGGUUGCUACUCGCCUACAUGAAGCUGGAAUUGUUUGUAAUCGCGGAUCAGCAUGCCGCGGUGAAUACGUUCCCGGGCCUUGCACACACCGCCCGUCA
RNAcentral lists this ribosomal RNA (1384 nucleotides) under uncultured bacterium. RNAcentral's name for it is "bacterial SSU rRNA". It matches the Rfam family "Bacterial small subunit ribosomal RNA". The record is from RNAcentral.